UUGAUAAUAUUAUUAUAUAUACUUAACGGAAGAACAACUCACAAGAAUAAUUAAUACACUUCAUAUAUAGAGGAAAAAAUACAAUUGGACAAUCACGGUGAAAAGUGCAAGGAAUGCGAUCUGCAAUGUCAAAUAAGAAACAAACAAUAUUACUAAAAAGUGAUAAAAUAUUGUGUAUGAAAUAAACAAGAAAACUAGAAAAUGGUGUGAAAAAUAUACAUACCACCAAUGGUUACAAUAAGAAUUAGAGAAAGAAAAAUUAUCAAAGUAUAAACAAAUAGGAAAUUUUGAGGCAUAUUUUUUUUUCUCUUUUGCGUGUAAUA
Molecule: long non-coding RNA, 323 nt
Filed under: Trifolium pratense (red clover)
Lineage: Eukaryota; Viridiplantae; Streptophyta; Magnoliopsida; Fabales; Fabaceae
Description: long non-coding RNA (TPRA_LNC008594)
Source: RNAcentral